CCCCAUGAAUGCAAAACUUGGACAAAUUAUUGAUAACAUACUUUUAAUAUAAUAUGAAACCUAUUAUACUGCUUUACUCUUAUGAGCUUGCUAGUCUGUCUGUUCUUUACACUCUAGGUUCCUUGAGAGCAAGGACCAUGAACCCAGCACAGUGCCUGGAACACAGUAGGUUCUCAAUAAGUUUAUUGAAUAAGUCAGUGAACGGUCUCAGGGAAUCUGGAAAUGAGACUUGCUGAUGUCCCUUACUAUCUGGAAGACCAUGGGCAACUCAGUCCUCUGGGCUCCAGCAUCCUCCCCUGUAUAACGAAGGUAAUAACACCUGCCUCACAAGCUUUUUGUGGGGAUCAGAUGAGAUGACCAAUCAGGAGCACUUUAUAAUGGUAAAACACAAAUAUUUGAUUUCCUUUUAUUAUGAAGAAUGCUGAGGAAGCAUGGGAAGUAAUUGCAAUAAGCAGUGGUGGUCACUGUGAGGGGUGUGGAGGGCAGAGAGCGGAACAUACAGACUGGGUUCUGGUGAAUCCCAAGAACACAGUGGGGCAGCCCCGGUUGCUCUACCUUCUAACUCUAUUUCUAAUCUGACCGCUCCUGCCUCUCCGUGACCCCUCCAUCCCAGCACCCAUCUUCUCCUGCUCCAAUGACUGCACUAGCCUCUAACUGGUCUUGCUUCUUCCACUCUUGCCCUCUUCCAAUCUGUUCUCCAUACAGCAGCCAGAGAGAUCUUUGACUAAUGUAAGUCAAAAGCACUUCCUUGCUUAGAACCAUUUAAUAGUGUCCUGCUUUACAGAGGAUGAAACCCAGCCCACAUACACAGACUCCCAGGCCUGGGACAAUCUGACCCCUGAGCUCUUUCCACCCUGAUUUUAUGCAAUUUCCUUUUACUCAUCACACUCCUAUUAGACUGCCUAUUGUCAGCUCCCAGAGCCUUCCAUGCCAAGCUAUUUGUGGUCUCCAGACUCUACGUGAUAUAAGCUGUUCCCUCUGCCCCAAACAGUCUUACUGCAGCUUCUCCUCUGGCUGGCUCUUUCUUUAGGUCUAUUCUUAAAUAUCGCCUCCUUAAGAGGUCUUCUGUAGAUUCCCUGUUAUUCUCUUACACUAUACUCUGUUUAUUUAUUCCGUACCACCAAUAACCAUUGUUAGGAUUCCCAGGCAAGAUGGUCAAAUAGGAGCAGCUCCGGUCUGCAGCUCCCAAUGAGACCAACACAGAAGGCGGGUGAUUUCUGCAUUUCCAGCUGAGGUACCUGGCUCAUCUCACUGGGACUGGUUAGACAGUGGGUGCAGCCCAUAGAGGGUGAACAGAAGCAGGGUGGGGCAUCGCCUCACCUGGGAAGUGCAAGGGGUUGGGGAACUCUCUCCCUUAGCCAAGGGAAGCCAUGAGGGACUGUGCCAUGAGAGACGAAGCUAUGUGGCCCAGAUACUACGCUUUUCCCACUGUCUUUGCAACCCGCAGACCAGGAGAUUCCCUCGGGUGCCUACACCACCAGGGCCCCAGGUUUCAAGCACAAAGCCAGGCAGCCUUUUGGGCAGACACCAAACUAGCUGCAGGAGUAUUUUUUUUGUAACCUAGUGGCAGCUGGAACACCAGCAAGACAGAACUAUUCACUCCCCUGGAAAGGGGGCUGAAGCCAGGGAGCCAAGUGGUCUAGCUCAUCAGAUCCCACCCCCACAGAGCCCAGCAAACUAAGAUCCACUGGCUUGAAAUUCUCACUGCCAGCACAGCAGUCUGAAGUCAACCUGGGACACUCCAGCUUGGUGGGGGGAGGGGUGUCCACCAUUUCUGAUGCUUGAGUAGGCCGUUUUCCCCUCACAGUGUAAACAAAGCCACCAGGAAGUUUGGACUGUGCGGAGCCCACUGCAGCUCGUUGUAGCCAGACUCUCUAGAUUUCUCCCCUUUGGGCAGGGCAUCUCUGAGAAAAAGUCAGCAGCCCCAGUCAGGGGCUUAUAGAUAAAACUCCCAUCUCCCUGGGACAGAGCACCUGGGGGAAAGGGUGGCUGUGGGUGCAGCUUCAGCAGAUUUAAAUGUUCCUGCCUGCCGGCUCUGAAGAGAACAGCAGACCUCCCAGCACAGCAAUCGAGCUCUGCUAAGGGAUAGACUGCCUCCUCAAGUGGGUCCCUGACCCCUGUGCCUCCUGAAGGAGAGACACCUUCCAGCAGGGGUCAACAGACACCUCAUACAGGAGAGCCCCAGCUGGCAUCUGGGAGGUGCCCCUCUGGGAUGAAGCUUCCAGACGAAGGAACAGGCAGCAAUCUUCACUGUUCUGCAGCAUCUGCUGGUGAUAUCCAGGCAAACAGGGUCUGGAGUGGACCUCCAGCAAACUCCAGCAGACCUGCAGAAGAGCGACCUGACUGUUAGAAGGAAAACUUACAAACAGGAAGCAAUAGCAUCGACAUCAACAAAAAGAACGAACGCUCAAAAACCCCAUCUGAAGGUCACCAGAAUCAAAGACCAAAGGUAGACAAAUCCACGAAGAUGAGGAAAAACCAGGGCAAAAAGGCUGAAAAUGCCAAAAUCCAGAAUGCUUCUUCUCCUCAAAAAGAUCACAACUCUUUGCCAGCAAGGAAACAAAACUGGACAAAGAAUGAGUUUGAAUUGA
Molecule: long non-coding RNA, 2591 nt
Filed under: Homo sapiens (human)
Lineage: Eukaryota; Metazoa; Chordata; Mammalia; Primates; Hominidae
Description: HSALNT0179360
Source: RNAcentral